This 301-nucleotide ribosomal RNA is filed under the name uncultured bacterium. RNAcentral describes it as "partial 16S ribosomal RNA". It matches the Rfam family "Bacterial small subunit ribosomal RNA", at positions 509 to 809 of the family's 1533-position model. The record is from RNAcentral.
CAGUCGCCGCGGUAAUACGUAGGCGGCAAGCGUUGUCCGGAAUUAUUGGGCGUAAAGGGCGCGUAGGCGGUUUAUACAGUCAGAUGUGAAAUUCCUGGGCUCAACCUGGGGACUGCAUUUGAUACGUAUGGACUUGAGUGGAGAAGAGGGUCGUGGAAUUUCCAGUGUAGAGGUGAAAUUCGUAGAUAUUCGGAAGAACACCAGUGGCGAAGGCGACACACUGGCCCAUUACUGACGCUGAGGCUCGAAAGCGUGGGGAGCAAACAGGAUUAGAUACCCCCGUAGUCCCUGUCCUUAUACA